Molecule: long non-coding RNA, 1794 nt
Filed under: Homo sapiens (human)
Lineage: Eukaryota; Metazoa; Chordata; Mammalia; Primates; Hominidae
Description: non-protein coding lnc-LSAMP-3:1
Source: RNAcentral
AUUACACCUGAAAUUCUUUUCUAUCAUCAAUCACUGUAACCUCACCAUAGCUGUAGAAGAUACCUGAAUCCAAAUCUAUGAAAAAAGUGUAUCUCUCCCUCAUCUGCUAAAAAGAAAAUUGUUACACAAACGUGGAAAAUAUGGUUGCCUAUUGUCAGGCCUCUGAGCCCAAGCCAAGCCAUUGCAUCCCCUGUGACUUGCACGUAUAUGCCCAGAUGGCCUGAAGUAACUGAAGAAUCACAAAAGAAGUGAAUAUGCUCUGCCCCACCUUAACUGAUGACAUUCCACCACAAAAGAAGUGUAAAUGGCUGGUCCUUGCCUUAAGUGAUGACAUUACCUUGUGAAAGUCCUUUUCCUGGCUCAUCCUGGCUCAAAAACACCCCCACUGAGCACCUUGCAACCCCUACUCCUGCCCACCAGAGAACAAACCCUCUUUGACUGUAAUCUUCCUUUACCUACCCAAAUCCUAUAAAAUGGCCCCACCCUUAUAUCCCUUCCCUGACUCUCUUUUCGAACUCAGCCCGCCUGCACCCAGGUGAAAUAAACAGCCAUGUUGUUCACACAAAGCCUGUUUGGUGGUCUCUUCACACAGACGCGCAUGAAAUUUGGUGCCAUGACUCGGAUCGGGGGACCUCCCUUGGGAGAUCAAUCCCCUGUCCUCCUGUUCUUUGCUCCAUGAGAAAGAUCCACCUAUAACCUCAGGUCCUCAGACCGACCAGCCCAAGGAACAUCUCACCAAUUUCAAAUCCAGUAAGCGGCCUCUUUUUACUCUCUUCUCCAACCUCCCUCACUAUCCCUCAACCUCUUUCUCCUUUCAAUCUUGGCACUACACUUCAAUCUCUCCCUUCUCUUAAUUUCAAUUCCUUUCAUUUUCUGGUAGAGACAAAGGAGACAUGUUUUAUCCGUGGACCCAAAACUCCGGUGCCGGUCACGGACUGGGAAGGCAGCCUUCCCUUGGUGUUUAAUCACUGCAGGGACACCUCUGUGAUUAUUCACCCACGUUUCAAAGGUGUCAGACCACGCAGGGACGCCUGCCUUGGUCCUUCACCCUUAGCGGCAAGUCCUGCUUUUCUGGGGAAGGGGCAAGUACCCCAACCCCUUCUCUCCUUGUCUCUACCCCUUCUCUGCUUUUCUGGGAGAGGGGCAAGUACCCCUCAACCCCUUCUCCUUCACCCUUAGUGGCAAGUCCCGCUUUUCUACAGGGCAAGAACCCCCAAUCCCUUAUUUCCAUGCCCCAACCUCUUAUCUCUGUGCCCCAACCCCUUUUCCCACUUUUCUGGAAGGUAAGAACCCCCAAACCCCUUCCCUCCAUUUCUCUACUCUGUCUUUUCUCUAGGCUUGCUUCCUUCACUAUGGGCAACUUUCCACCCUCCAUUCCUCCUUCUACUCCCUUGGCCUGUGUUUUCAAAAACUUAAAACCUCUUCAACUCACACCUGACCUAAAACCUAAAUGCCUUAUUUUCUUCUGCAAUGCCGCUUGACCCCAAUACAAACUCAACAGUAGUUCCAAAUAGCCGGAAAACGGCACUUUCAAUUUUUCCAUCCUACAAGAUCUAAAUAAUUCUUAUCAUAAAAUGGGCAAAUGGUCUGAAGUGCCUGACAUCCAGGCAUUCUUUUACACAUCAGUCCCUUCCUGGUCUCUGUGCCCAGUGCAACUUGUCCCAAAUCUUCCUUCUUUCCCUCCCACCUGUCCCCUCAGUCCCAACCCCAAGCAUUGCUGAGUCUUUCUAAUCUUCCUUUUCUACAGACCCAUCUGACCUCUCCCCUCCUCGCCAGGCCGAGCUAGGUCCCAAU